Arvicanthis niloticus (Nile rat) is the source of this 1458-nucleotide non-coding RNA. The record is from RefSeq and is a predicted model, not a curated record. Lineage: Eukaryota; Metazoa; Chordata; Mammalia; Rodentia; Muridae.
GGCCCUGUCUUUUGGGAAGAUAUAGUAAGUCAAGAGAAUAAAUAUUACAACAACAUUGGAAGCAUGUGCAUUGAUCUCAAGCAGCCUGGAGCACAAGCGGUCAGGAGAGCUGGACUGGCUGUCCCAUGUCCUGUUUAGACCCAGAGGAAAUGGGAGAGCAAGCAUGGAGAGGCUCCCUUGGGAGUAUAUACCCAGAUCAGUCCAUUGUGUCUGCCAGAAAACUACCUCACAGGCAGUUGUGAUCCAAGUUCCCCAGUCCCUCCCUGGCUUAGCUGUCUGCCUAGGACUUGGGAAGGGAGCCUCUCUGCAGCUCUCUGUAGACCACUCAGACCCAGUCAGCUUUCAAUCUACACACUGCGGCAGCCUGAGAUCACCACCCCAGCUGUUCGGUGGGGGAGGGACUUUUAUCUCAGGUCGCCUAGGUAUUUCCCGGUUGUUUUCAAGAAAUUCAAGCAAAGAUCUUUUGCCCCCUACUGGCCACUCCUGGAAACACACUCCAACGCUGCCAGAGCGACAAGCUCUGCCCUGCUGCACAGCCCGCGCAUGCGUCUCGGCUACCUUGGCUAUUUAGUCCUCUGAACUCCACAUUCACAGCACAAGAUCAAUGCGGGGAGAGGCUGCACGUGGAGACGACUUUCCUCAGAGGUGAUCGACAAGUCGCAAAAAAUCAAUUCUCCGACAACCUGCUCAGCCCACUAGUCCUGGGAGGCUUGACCCUGACUCCAGGACUCCAGGAGAGGCUGAGUCAGGGCGGGAAGAAAACUCAACAGGGAGACUAAACAUGCGUGGACACCGCAGGUUCUGGCCCUUUGGUCCUCCCAUCGGCCUCCUUCAGCUGGAGACAGCGUCUUCAAGGACUCCAUAGCUCAGGAGAACUAUCCCAGCCCGGCUUUAGAAACGUCCUUGCCAGGGAUGGUGCAAAAUGUUAAAGAAUGUUACAAUUUUCUGUUCUUUAAGCUAAAGGAUAAAGAGAUUGGACAAAAUCCAAUUCUCGGACUGUUUCAUCAAUACAAGGUUGUUAUCUUCGUUUCUUUUCCUGUUGCUGUGAUAAAGGCGAUUUAAGGAGGGGAGGGUUUCUUUUAGCUCACAGUUCACGUUACCGCCUGUCAAUGCAGAGAGGUCAAAGCAGCAAAAAAUGGUCACAGGGAAUCCACCAAGAGGAAGAAGAAUGAGUGGCUCGUGUCCACUUCGCUGUCUCCAUUUAUACACUCAAGAGUCCAUAACGAAUGGUCUAGCCCACAAUUAAGAUGGCUCCUUCCACAUUCUCAGAGACUCGGGUUACUCUAAAGGCCCGACCCCUCACAAGUAUCCUGAGAGACAUGUCUCACGGGUAAUUCUAUAGAGUCUGCAAGUUGGCAAUUAAUAUUUAUCCUCACAGUUUUGUUCCUUAAAAGACUCAAAAAAAAUUAUAAUGAGCAUACAUUCUGAAAUGUUAACACUGUGUCGUUCUGGAUUCUG